Acipenser ruthenus (sterlet) is the source of this 74-nucleotide non-coding RNA. Lineage: Eukaryota; Metazoa; Chordata; Actinopteri; Acipenseriformes; Acipenseridae. The record is from the annotation of a RefSeq genome assembly.
GGCGCCGUGACUUAGCGGGUUAAAGUGCUUGUAUAGAAAACAAGAGUUCCUGGGUUCAAAUCCCAGCGGUGCCU